UACGUAGGGUGCAAGCGUUGUCCGGAAUUAUUGGGCGUAAAGGGCUCGUAGGCGGUCCAUCGCGUCGGGAGUGAAAAGCUGGGGCUUAACCCCAGUCCUGCUUUCGAUACGGGUGGACUAGAGGUAGGCAGGGGAGAACGGAAUUCCUGGUGUAGCGGUGAAAUGCGCAGAUAUCAGGAGGAACACCGAUGGCGAAGGCGGCAUCCUGGACCGGUAUGACGCUGAGGCGCGAAAGCUAGGGGAGCAAACGGG
RNAcentral lists this ribosomal RNA (252 nucleotides) under uncultured bacterium. RNAcentral's name for it is "partial 16S ribosomal RNA". It matches the Rfam family "Bacterial small subunit ribosomal RNA", at positions 524 to 776 of the family's 1533-position model. The record is from RNAcentral.